This 429-nucleotide ribosomal RNA is filed under the name Fusobacteriota bacterium. RNAcentral describes it as "Fusobacteria bacterium partial 16S ribosomal RNA". It matches the Rfam family "Bacterial small subunit ribosomal RNA", at positions 355 to 776 of the family's 1533-position model. The record is from RNAcentral. Lineage: Bacteria; Fusobacteriati; Fusobacteriota.
UGGGGAAUAUUGCGCAAUGGGCGAAAGCCUGACGCAGCGACGCCGCGUGAGGGAUGAAGGUUUUCGGAUCGUAAACCUCUGUCAGAAGGGAAGAAACCGCACUGUGCUAAUCAGCAGUGCCUUGACGGUACCUUCAAAGGAAGCACCGGCUAACUCCGUGCCAGCAGCCGCGGUAAUACGGAGGGUGCAAGCGUUAAUCGGAAUUACUGGGCGUAAAGCGCACGUAGGCUGCUUUGUAAGUCAGGGGUGAAAUCCCACGGCUCAACCGUGGAACGGCCUUUGAUACUGCUUAGCUUGAAUCCGGGAGAGGGUGGCGGAAUUCCAGGUGUAGGAGUGAAAUCCGUAGAUAUCUGGAGGAACAUCAGUGGCGAAGGCGGCCACCUGGACCGGUAUUGACGCUGAGGUGCGAAAGCGUGGGGAGCAAACAGG